This 497-nucleotide ribosomal RNA is filed under the name uncultured bacterium. Its description in RNAcentral is "partial 16S ribosomal RNA". It matches the Rfam family "Bacterial small subunit ribosomal RNA", at positions 28 to 507 of the family's 1533-position model. The record is from RNAcentral.
GAUGAACGCUGGCGGCGUGCCUAAUACAUGCAAGUCGAGCGAACGGACGAGAAGCUUGCUUCUCUGAUGUUAGCGGCGGACGGGUGAGUAACACGUGGAUAACCUACCUAUAAGACUGGGAUAACUUCGGGAAACCGGAGCUAAUACCGGAUAAUAUUUUGAACCGCAUGGUUCAAAAGUGAAAGACGGUCUUGCUGUCACUUAUAGAUGGAUCCGCGCUGCAUUAGCUAGUUGGUAAGGUAACGGCUUACCAAGGCAACGAUGCAUAGCCGACCUGAGAGGGUGAUCGGCCACACUGGAACUGAGACACGGUCCAGACUCCUACGGGAGGCAGCAGUAGGGAAUCUUUCGCAAAGGGCGAAAGCCUGACGGAGCAACGCCGCGUGAGUGAUGAAGGUCUUCGGAUCGUAAAACUCUGUUAUUAGGGAAGAACAUAUGUGUAAGUAACUGUGCACAUCUUGACGGUACCUAAUCAGAAAGCCACGGCUAACUACGUG